AACAAAACCCCAAAGCUGCAUAGAUAUAAAGCCCCAAAUAUAUAAUUGAGAACACUAAACAAUUCAUGUGUAGACUGGCUACACCAGUAUCAUUAAAUACUCAGUAAGAUGAGGCAGCAACUUUGAUCAUUGGCUAUCUGUUGUCUUCUACGACAAUGGUUCUUCUAGGAUAGGAAUCAACAUCCACAAAUAUGUAACGGACAUCAAAUCUUCCUCUCUCGGGAUUCUCUUUUACUUCCACAUGGAC
RNAcentral lists this long non-coding RNA (247 nucleotides) under Gallus gallus (chicken). The record is from RNAcentral. Lineage: Eukaryota; Metazoa; Chordata; Aves; Galliformes; Phasianidae.